AGCAGCCGCGGUAAUUCCAGCUCCAAUAGCGUAUAUUAAAGUUGUUGCAGUUAAAAAGCUCGUAGUUGAAUUUCGGGAUCAAUAUGUUGGUCGUGCCUCGGUACGUACUAGCUUAUUGGUUUCUCCUUUCUGAAGAACCAUGAUGUCAUUUAUUUGGUGUCGUGGGGAAUCAGGACUGUUACUUUGAAAAAUUAGAGUGUUUAAAGCAGGCUCACGCUUGAAUACAUUAGCAUGGAAUAAUGAAAUAGGACGUUUGAUUCUAUUUUGUUGGUUUUUAGGAUCGACGUAAUGAUUAAUAGGGAUAGUUGGGGGCAUUAGUAUUCAAUCGUCAGAGGUGAAAUUCUUGGAUUUAUUGAAGACUAACUACUGCGAAAGCAUUUGCCAAGGAUGUUUUCAUUAAUCAAGAACGAAAGUUAGGGGAUCGAAGACGAUCAGAUACCGUCGUAGUCUUAACCAUAAACUAUGCCGACUAGGGAUCGGAUGAUGUUAAUUUUUAAUGACUCAUU
This 506-nucleotide ribosomal RNA is filed under the name uncultured Glomus. RNAcentral's name for it is "SSU rRNA". It matches the Rfam family "Eukaryotic small subunit ribosomal RNA", at positions 569 to 1080 of the family's 1831-position model. Lineage: Eukaryota; Fungi; Glomeromycota; Glomeromycetes; Glomerales; Glomeraceae. The record is from RNAcentral.